Long non-coding RNA from Triticum dicoccoides, 1406 nucleotides. RefSeq lists it as uncharacterized. The record is from RefSeq and is a predicted model, not a curated record. Lineage: Eukaryota; Viridiplantae; Streptophyta; Magnoliopsida; Poales; Poaceae. The transcript has 2 exons.
GGCCGACGCGAAGUAGACUCCUGGCGGCGGCGACAGCGAGGUAAGCCAUCCAACUUCACCACUAGCAAAGUCGCUGGUACAGAUGCCCGUGCUACUGCAUUUGCUUGAAUGCUGCUUCCGCUGACAAAAUGAAAUGUAUCCUAUGGUGUAUCUUGAUCAAAGGUGCAAGUACGUAUCAGCCAGAUGCACCCUCUUGAUCUCCUUUUAUCUUACCGGAGUCGAAUACUGUGAGUAAAUUCACAAAGCACAUAGUUUCAUGAAGAAUUUUGUGAUGAAAAAAUUAGCUAGGGUCUCUUGGCCGUGAUCUGUUGAGGACGACCGUGUUCUCAUGCCGUGCAGGUAGCUGCCGAUUCUCCUGUGGUCCUUUAGGGCUUAUUCUGAAUUGUUUUACCUGUCAGCAGGUCUCGAUCAGAUUGUCCUUGGUGUAUCAUCCAUGCCACCAUGCCUGCCAACAUCAACUAUCAGAAUUAAUUAUUGGCAAGGAUCCCAAGCUCUGUAGUUAGCAAUAAUAAUUAAUAAAAGUGGUGACUAGUUUGCAUAAAAAAAUUAUAAAUAAGCUGACUGGUGAGUAGUACUACUAAAGAGUAAAGACACUUCUCGUUGCCGUGCUUCAUCUGCACACUGAAGCAUGACGGCCACGCCAUGUUUUCCAAAGUUUCUCAAGGGCUGGUGAGAGCAAUUAUUGGUUUGGUAAGAGAAGCAAUUAUUGGUUUGGUACACAAAUACACAUCUUGUGAACAUAGAAACUUUAACAGACCUGAGCCUGGGAGUGCUUCUCAUCAGAAGUAUGGGAUCGACGAACGGCGGCUCUUCUCAACAAAGCAGCGACUUACCUUAGCAGGCUGGGCCACAGAAAUUAUCUGAAGGCACACAGGCUACCUGCUGUGCAACAUAUCUGUCUCAGCUCUGACUUGGGGAGCAAUGGCCGAGGUUGUGAUUCUCUUGGCAGUGGCAAAGAUCGGUGUAGCUCUGGCGAAUGAAGCAACGAACCAGGCUACUUUACAUUUCAAUAACUUUAUAACACGGCUAACAGAGCUUCAAGGAAGCAUGGGUCACAUCAGAAGGGAGCUCAGGUUGAUGCAUGAAUAUCUUGGCCGAAUGGACGUGCAGAAUCGCAACAAUCAGACAUAUUAAAUCUGGGGUGGAGGAGGUGAGAAUGUUUGUUCAUGGGAUUGAGGACAUUGUGGAUGAGUAUUUGCAACUUGUUGGUCAGAAACAUGAGAGUGGAUGGAGUGCCUAUCUAAAGAAAGGAUUCAAACAACCAAAUGUUUUCUUCUCUUUAAACAGGGUAGCUUCUUUGGUUAAGGAAGCGGAGGUCAAUCUUGUGCACCUGUUCCAGGCUAAAGAACGAUGGGUGCUAAUGGUAGAUAGUGGGUAUAUGAAUGACUAAAGUUACAUUGUUGAGA